This is a non-coding RNA of Parelaphostrongylus tenuis, 75 nucleotides long. NCBI's taxonomy places the organism in Eukaryota, Metazoa, Nematoda, Chromadorea, Rhabditida, Metastrongylidae. The record is from the annotation of a GenBank genome assembly.
GCGUCGGUAGUGCAAUGAUUUAGCACGCGCCUUCUCGGAUAGGGUGAAAUCCGUGUUCAAAUCCCAGCUGACGCA